GGGUUGUGAGGUUAAGCGACCAAGCGUACACGGUGGAUGCCCUGGCAGUCAGAGGCGAUGAAGGACGUGCUAAUCUGCGAAAAGCGCCGGUAAGGUGAUAUGAACCGUUAUAACCGGCGAUGUCCGAAUGGGGAAACCCAGUGUGACUCGUCACACUAUCAUUAACUGAAUCCAUAGGUUAAUGAGGCGAACCGGGGGAACUGAAACAUCUAAGUACCCCGAGGAAAAGAAAUCAACCGAGAUUCCCCCAGUAGCGGCGAGCGAACGGGGAGGAGCCCAGAGCCUGAAUCAGCAUGUGUGUUAGUGGAAGCGUCUGGAAAGGCGCGCGAUACAGGGUGACAGCCCCGUACACAAAAGCGCACGUGCUGUGAGCUCGAUGAGUAGGGCGGGACACGUGGUAUCCUGUCUGAAUAUGGGGGGACCAUCCUC
RNAcentral lists this ribosomal RNA (429 nucleotides) under Salmonella enterica subsp. arizonae. Its description in RNAcentral is "partial 23S ribosomal RNA". It matches the Rfam family "Bacterial large subunit ribosomal RNA", at positions 1 to 460 of the family's 2925-position model. The record is from RNAcentral. Lineage: Bacteria; Pseudomonadati; Pseudomonadota; Gammaproteobacteria; Enterobacterales; Enterobacteriaceae.